Orussus abietinus is the source of this 129-nucleotide small nuclear RNA. RefSeq annotates it as U4atac minor spliceosomal RNA. The record is from RefSeq and is a predicted model, not a curated record. NCBI's taxonomy places the organism in Eukaryota, Metazoa, Arthropoda, Insecta, Hymenoptera, Orussidae. The transcript has a single exon.
UUCGUCCUUGUCUUUGGGGAGCAAAGUAUUCAAUGAUCGUAUAGUGAGGGUACUGUUGCUGAAAACCAUUAAACAUUAACCGCAUCCGUGUAUGACGUUUGUCUAACGCGCGAUGCAAUUUUUGGACGG